This 253-nucleotide ribosomal RNA is filed under the name uncultured bacterium. RNAcentral describes it as "partial 16S ribosomal RNA". It matches the Rfam family "Bacterial small subunit ribosomal RNA", at positions 524 to 776 of the family's 1533-position model. The record is from RNAcentral.
UACGAAGGGGGCUAGCGUUGCUCGGAAUCACUGGGCGUAAAGGGCGCGUAGGCGGCCAUUCAAGUCGGAGGUGAAAGCCCAGGGCUCAACCCUGGAAUUGCCUUCGAUACUGUUUGGCUAGAGACCGGAAGAGGUAAGUGGAACUGCGAGUGUAGAGGUGAAAUUCGUAGAUAUUCGGAGGAACACCAGUGGCGAAGGCGGCUCACUGGUCCAUUACUGACGCUGAGGUGCGAAAGCGUGGGGAGCAAACAGG